UACAGAGGGUGCAAGCGUUAAUCGGAUUUACUGGGCGUAAAGCGUGCGUAGGCGGUGUGUCAAGUCAGGCGUGAAAGCCCCGGGCUCAACCUGGGAACAGCGCUUGAGACUGGCACGCUCGAGUUCGGGAGAGGAUGGUGGAAUUCCCAGUGUAGAGGUGAAAUUCGUAGAUAUUGGGAAGAACACCGAUGGCGAAGGCAGCCAUCUGGACCGACACUGACGCUGAGGCGCGAAAGCGUGGGGAGCAAACAGG
This 253-nucleotide ribosomal RNA is filed under the name uncultured bacterium. Its description in RNAcentral is "partial 16S ribosomal RNA". It matches the Rfam family "Bacterial small subunit ribosomal RNA", at positions 524 to 776 of the family's 1533-position model. The record is from RNAcentral.